RNAcentral lists this transfer RNA (73 nucleotides) under Elusimicrobiota bacterium. RNAcentral describes it as "tRNA-Thr". It matches the Rfam family "tRNA". From Rfam's summary of the family: Transfer RNA (tRNA) molecules are approximately 80 nucleotides in length. Their secondary structure includes four short double-helical elements and three loops (D, anti-codon, and T loops). Lineage: Bacteria; Pseudomonadati; Elusimicrobiota. The record is from RNAcentral.
GCCGACGUAGCUCAGUUGGUAGAGCAAUUGCUUCGUAAGCAAUUGGUCGUAGGUUCAAGUCCUAUCGUCGGCU